UAGGGAAUCUUCCGCAAUGGACGCAAGUCUGACGGAGCAACGCCGCGUGAGUGAAGAAGGAUUUCGGUUCGUAAAACUCUGUUGUUAGGGAAGAACAGCGCAUAGAGUAACUGUUAUGCGUGUGACGGUAUCUAACCAGAAAGCCACGGCUAACUACGUGCCAGCAGCCGCGGUAAUACGUAGGUGGCAAGCGUUGUCCGGAUUUAUUGGGCGUAAAGCGAGCGCAGGCGGUCAAUUAAGUCUGAUGUGAAAGCCCCCGGCUCAACCGGGGAGGGUCAUUGGAAACUGGUUGACUUGAGUGCAGAAGAGGAGAGUGGAAUUCCAUGUGUAGCGGUGAAAUGCGUAGAUAUAUGGAGGAACACCAGUGGCGAAGGCGACUCUCUGGUCUGUAACUGACGCUGAGGUUCGAAAGCGUGGGUAGCAAACAGG
This 429-nucleotide ribosomal RNA is filed under the name Bacteroidota bacterium. RNAcentral describes it as "Bacteroidetes bacterium partial 16S ribosomal RNA". It matches the Rfam family "Bacterial small subunit ribosomal RNA", at positions 355 to 776 of the family's 1533-position model. Lineage: Bacteria; Pseudomonadati; Bacteroidota. The record is from RNAcentral.